Molecule: ribosomal RNA, 515 nt
Filed under: uncultured bacterium
Lineage: Bacteria
Description: partial 16S rRNA
Source: RNAcentral
ACUCCCCAGGCGGGGUACUUAUUGCGUUAACUCCGGCACAGAAGGGGUCGAUACCUCCUACACCUAGUACCCAUCGUUUACGGCCAGGAUUACCGGGGUAUCUAAUCCCGUUCACUCCCCUGGCUUUCGCGCCUCAGCGUCAGACACAGUCCAGAAAGUCGCCUUCGCCACUGGUGUUCCUCCUAAUAUCUACGCAUUUCACCGCUACACUAGGAAUUCCACUUUCCUCUCCUGCACUCAAGAAAUGUAGUUUCCAUCCCAUCACGGGGUUGAGCCCCGAACUUUUAAGACAGACUUACAUUCCCGCCUGCGCGCGCUUUACGCCCAAUAAUUCCGGACAACGCUUGCCACCUACGUAUUACCGCGGCUGCUGGCACGUAGUUAGCCGUGGCUUCCUCCUCAGGUACCGUCAUUACUUAACAUUAUUCACAUUAAGCACAUUCGUCCCUGAAGACAGAGCUUUACGAUCCGAAAACCUUCUUCACUCACGCGGCGUUGCUCCGUCAGACUUUCGU